CGUUUCCAUGGCAGCGGGAGCCAACAGGGAGGCGCCGCCAUGAGCCCGCCCGAGGUGGAGCCGCUCGUGUGCCAGAAGUACGAGAUCAAGAGGCGCCUGGGCAAGGGGGCCUACGGCAUCGUCUGGAAAGCAAUCGACCGCAGGACAGGAGAAAUAGUUGCUGUUAAAAAGAUUUUUGAUGCUUUCAGGAACAGGACGGAUGCUCAGAGAACAUUUCGAGAGAUUAUGUUCCUGCAGGAAUUUGGAGAACAUCCAAAUAUCAUCAAGCUGCUCGAUGUUAUCCAAGCUGAGAAUGACAAGGAUAUCUACCUCAUCUUCGAGUCCAUGGAGACAGAUUUACAUGCUGUUAUUAAGAAGGGGAAUUUGCUGAAAGACAUCCACAAGUGUUACAUUCUCUACCAGCUCCUGAAGGCAACUAAAUUCAUCCACUCGGGGAAUGUCAUUCACAGGGAUCAGAAGCCUUCCAAUAUCCUGCUGGAUGCAGAGUGCUGUGUGAAGCUGUGUGACUUCGGGCUGGCCCGUUCCCUGUGCCAGCAGGGCGAGGACCAGCCCAGCCCCGCGCUGACCGAGUACGUGGCCACGCGCUGGUACCGCGCCCCCGAGAUCUUACUGGCCUCUCGCAGUUACACUAAAGGUGUAGACAUGUGGAGCAUUGGCUGCAUUCUGGGAGAGAUGCUGCUUGGGAAGCCUCUUUUCCCUGGAACAUCAACAAUGAAUCAAAUAGAGCAGAUCCUAAGGGUCAUCCCUGCUCCGUCCCCAGAAGAUAUUUUGGCUCUGCAAUCAGAGUACAAGGCCUCAGUUAUUAACCACAUGAGUUCCCGGCAGCGAGUAACAUUUGAGGAGAUUUUCCCAUCCUCUACUCCACUACCUGCCUUGGAUCUGCUGAAGAAACUUCUGGUAUUUAACCCUGACAAACGGCUCACAGCAGAGGAGGCUCUGCAGCAUCCUUAUGUGAACAGAUUCCACUGUCCUUCCAGGGAGCCCUCUUUGGAUUAUAAUGUGGUCCUUCCUUUGGGUGAUGAUGUCCAGCUGUCUGUGGCAGAAUAUCGAAAUAAAUUGUAUGAGUUGAUCCUUGAAAAAAAAUCAAGGAGCCUUCUAAAGGAGAGAGGGCGGAGAGAAAACAUUCAGCUGAGCCAGUCUGAAUCCAGCCCACUUCUCCCAAAUUGCAGCUCAGUGACUGUACCCACCAGAAAAGUCCAGCAAGAACCAGCACCUCCUCUCCUAAACCCUUCACAUGUGCAUGCAGGAGCCACAGCUGGAGUCCAGCCAACAGGAUCCAGCCAGAGCAAGGAUUUGGCCAGAACUGUGUGUCAGAGAUCACAGAUCAGUGUGAUGAUGUACAACCCCAUCACACACACCACUGUGCAGAGAAAUGCAAAUCUUGGUGCUGGGAUCAGGAACUUUUCUGCACCACGUCAACAGCCCAGAAUCUCCAACAAUGGGAAACUAGGGAGACAAAUCUCAUGGACAAACACUGGGCUCCCUCCUACAAGGGUGCAGAACCUUUACAAUAAUCCCAGAAACUCUCAGUGUCACAGCAAAGAUGUUCGUCCCCUUCUGAAGCCCAGUAAAAAGAUGUUCCAGAUCACUGCAAAUGUGGGAGCUGCGGGUGAUCCAAGAGCAUCGAUGGGCAGCUACUCCCAGGCCUAUGGAACCAUCAGUAAAUCUGCGCUGCAGAGUCUUCCGAUAACAAAGGCCUCCCAAAACCUCGAGCAGUAAAUGUGGAGAUGUUCCAGCCAGAAAGCAGAGUUCCAUGAGAUACUAUUGCUGAAACAUCGUGAAGGUGUUACCAGGCUACAGUGGGACUACAGGAAACAUUAUAUUCCUGUUUUAAUGCGGAUUUUGGAUACAUUCUCCUCAUUAACUUGAAGUUCUUGUCUGUGUCCCUGAAGUUUUACUCCACCUGUGAUAAAUGAUUGUUAUUCCAGAACAUUGGAACUACAGUUACCAAGGGGAUUCAGGUGCUGAAUUCCAGCAUGUGUGGUCACUGGAGUCUGGUAACAGGAGGGAGCCAGGAGUGCAGCUCACAGGGAAGUCCAGGCUUAUUGUGGUAUAUUCAUAGUACAGGUGUUUCCUGCCUGUCUGAGGUACAGGGAGAUGUAGGAGUGGCAGUGCCAGGAACAGGCGCUGCUCCAGGCUCUGCUUCUGCGUGGGAGAAGUCUGGCAAAUGAAUUUCUGUCCUAUAUUCUGCCUCCGUAACAUCAUUCCCAUCGGGCCAUUGCCUGCAGGGUUCAGCUGGUCGGAGCCGUGUCUCACCUCCCUGGAAGAAUUUGAGGGCAUCCAGCUCUAGCUGCUUGGAACGGAGGAAGCCCCUGACCGGAUCCAUCUGGGAAUUCUCCAUUUCCACCUUUUUAUACAUCCGCAUGGCUGACCCCUCCACGGUGUGCCGCAGCAUGUCAUCCCGCCGAAAAUUGGAGAGGAAGUACCUGUCCGGAUCCACUCUGUCCAUGAAGGAGGGGAAGAGACUGUCAUCCCUCUGGAACAUCAGGGGGCCUUUUUUGGGAAAGAAAGGCAUGUUAUUGCCAAAGGGAGCCAUGGCGAAGGCAUUCUCUGCCUUUGCCAGGACAUUGGCUGGAGGAACGAGAGGUUCCGACUGUGCAAACAAAAUGCGGAAUUCCUCAUCAAAGCUGGCCACCAGCUCGCCCUGGAAGAUGUGCGCGAUGCUCCUGUGGAUCUUCUCAAAGGACCACAUGAAACUAUGGAGAGAACAGAAGUGAUGGAGGGUAUUAGCAUUGAGUAACUCAGCUGUACCCCUUUUCAUUAAAGCGUUUGCUUGCCUGAAGGAAAUUCUGAAUUUUCUGCUCCGGUAGAAAUACGGCAAAAUAAUGACAGAAAAUUCCCCUGCAGCCACUUGUUAGACAUGAUCGUUCCCUAACCUCACAGUUAGGUAUUGAUUUGGAAUCACAUCUUUGCAGAGGAUUUUACAAGGCAACAAAUGACUUCUGUUCUAAAAAGCCAGUCAGUAGUGUCCACAGCCAGAGAAUGAGGGGACGAUUAUUGUUAUGUGAAGUAGAUGUUUCUGUCUUUAACACUGUCAGUAAUGACUGGGACAACAGUCAGUGUGUGCCCUCUGCACUUGGCAGGUGACACCAGUCAGGGGACCCCAAAGGCUGGGGAGCUGUGCCAAUGGGAACCUCAGGAAAUCGAGCAGAGGCAAAUGCAGGAUCUUGCCCCUGCGGUGGCACAACCCUUCCACCCACACAGGCUAAAGGGGACUGGACAGAAGGAGCUGGGCUGGAAAUGAGGGAGGAAGAUGUUCAGUGUUACAGCCUUUGUCUUCCCAAGUCAAGCUCUGCUUUUUUGGGAAUGGCUGGAUAUCUGCCAACCCGUGGGAAGCAGGGAAGAGAUCCUUUACUUUGCUUUGCCUGUGUGUGCCCGUUUGCUGUAGGUGUUAAACUGUAUCACAACCCAGGAGUGUUCUCAUGUUUCAGAUUCUGCUGUAUCCUGCUAGGAGGUGUGAGGGACACCUGUGUGGGGCUUAGCUGCCUGCUGGGGUUAAGCAAAACCCUUAAAAUUAUUGUCUUUUUUUUACAGAUUUUUUAAUUCUUGAUGUGAAGGAAGCCUGGCUUGGGGUGUCUGGGGUCGAGGACUUCUUUAAUUGGUGUAUUGACCUCCAUUGCAAUAUGGUGUACUUUUCCUGAAAAAUUGCUGCUCAGUAUCCUUCAGUGAGGAAAACUUUUGUCCCUGAUAUCCAUGUGGAAUUGCAAAAUGCUGCUUAACCAACUCACCAGCUUCUCUCAUAGAAUGCCAGACUGAUUUGGGCUGGAAGGGACCAUUGCAACCACCUUGUUCCACUCUCCUGCCAUGGGCAGGGACACCUUCCACUAGCCCAGGCUGCUCCAAGCCCUGUCCAACCUGUAUUUGAACACUUCCACAACUUCCUACUUCAAAAAUGAUACAAUAUUUGAAAACCCAAAGCACGUGAGAGCGUGGCAGAAGUAGUCUUGAACAAUUAACUUGAUGCUCUCAUAAGCAAAAAACUAUUCAAUUGGAACAGUUACCUGUUUGGUACAGCAUCAAAUUUGACAAUAAUUCUUUCCAAACAUCAGGAAAAAAGCUAAAGUAGAAUCUUGUUACAAAGAAUGUGCACUUUAUUCAGAUGCCUAUACUGUGGAUGUUUAUCUUCAUAUACUGUUUUUUAAAA
Molecule: RNA transcript, 4144 nt
Organism: Chiroxiphia lanceolata (lance-tailed manakin)
Lineage: Eukaryota; Metazoa; Chordata; Aves; Passeriformes; Pipridae
Gene: MAPK15
Gene name: mitogen-activated protein kinase 15
Exons: 17
Source: RefSeq, a predicted model, not a curated record